CCCUUAGAUGUCCUGGGCCGCACGCGCGUUACACUGAUGCAUUCAACGAGCUUAUAACCUUGGCCGAGAGGCCUGGGCAAUCUUGUUAACGUGCAUCGUGAUAGGGAUAGAUUAUUGAAAUUAUUAAUCUUGAACGAGGAAUUCCUAGUAAACGCUGAUCAUCAAUCUGCAUUGAUUACGUCCCUGCCCUUUGUACACACCGCCCGUCGCACCUACCGAUUGGAUGGUCCGGUGAAGCCUCGGGAUUGUGGUUCUUGCCGCUUUAUUGUAGCGUGACCGCGAGAACUUGUCUAAACCUUAUCAUCUAGAGGAAGGUGAAGUCGUAACA
RNAcentral lists this ribosomal RNA (328 nucleotides) under uncultured eukaryote. Its description in RNAcentral is "partial 18S ribosomal RNA". It matches the Rfam family "Eukaryotic small subunit ribosomal RNA", at positions 1470 to 1796 of the family's 1831-position model. The record is from RNAcentral.